Molecule: long non-coding RNA, 371 nt
Organism: Vigna unguiculata (cowpea)
Lineage: Eukaryota; Viridiplantae; Streptophyta; Magnoliopsida; Fabales; Fabaceae
Source: RefSeq, a predicted model, not a curated record
AGUCAUGUUUUUCAACAAGAUGGAUACCACAAAGAGGUGUAGUGUGGCAUUACUUGCAUUCUCAUUGGCUCUUUUCAUCAUUGCAUCAGAUAUGAGUAUGAAAUCUGAAGCAAGGGGACCCAUUGUGCACCUUCACUGUUCUAGGGAUUCAGAUUGUGAUCAUCGUCCUUGUGCAUCAUGUGGUUGCAAAUGUAGAAACACUUAUUGUGUAUGUCAAUCAAAACCUGAUUUUUCUGAAAACAUUUCUACUCAUGCACCCACAAAUUGAGUAAUAAGGUUUUCUCAUGCAAUCCUAAGAGAGAAUCACAACACUAAAGGAUUGUAAUUUCUUCUUAAUUGUGUUUGCAAAUAAAGGUCCGAAUUUUGGCUUA